AGAGUUUGAUCAUGGCUCAGAAUCAACGCUGGCGGCGUGCCUAACACAUGCAAGUCGAACGCGAGGAUCCCGCAAGGGAUUAGUAGAGUGGCAAACGGGUGAGUAACACGUGGGUGACCUGCCUUCGAGCGGGGGAUAACAUCCCGAAAGGGAUGCUAAUACCGCAUGACAUCCUGCUUUUGAAUAAGUGGAGAUCAAAGCCGGGGAUCGCAAGACCUGGCACUCGAAGAGGGGCCCGCGCCCGAUUAGCUAGUUGGUGAGGUAACGGCUCACCAAGGCUUCGAUCGGUAGCCGGCCUGAGAGGGCGGACGGCCACACUGGGACUGAGACACGGCCCAGACUCCUACGGGAGGCAGCAGUGGGGAAUUGUUCACAAUGGGCGCAAGCCUGAUGACGCAACGCCGCGUGGAGGAUGAAGAUCUUCGGGUCGUAAACUCCUUUCGAUCGAGACGAACGACUUCCGGGCUAAUCACCGGGAGAGUGACGGUACCGAGAGAAGAAGCCCCGGCUAACUCCGUGCCAGCAGCCGCGGUAAUACGGGGGGGGCAAGCGUUGUUCGGAAUUACUGGGCGUAAAGGGCUCGUAGGCGGCCAACUAAGUCAGACGUGAAAUCCCCCGGCUUAACCAGGGAACUGCGUCUGAUACUGGAUGGCUUGAGUUUGGGAGAGGGAUGCGGAAUUCCAGGUGUAGCGGUGAAAUGCGUAGAUAUCUGGAGGAACACCGGUGGCGAAGGCGACAUCCUGGACCAAUACUGACGCUGAGUGAGCGAAAGCCAGGGGAGCAAACGGGAUUAGAUACCCUAGUAGUCC
RNAcentral lists this ribosomal RNA (809 nucleotides) under uncultured bacterium. RNAcentral's name for it is "bacterial SSU rRNA". It matches the Rfam family "Bacterial small subunit ribosomal RNA", at positions 8 to 796 of the family's 1533-position model. The record is from RNAcentral.